RNAcentral lists this ribosomal RNA (923 nucleotides) under Thelephora japonica. Its description in RNAcentral is "partial large subunit ribosomal RNA". It matches the Rfam family "Eukaryotic large subunit ribosomal RNA", at positions 49 to 963 of the family's 3401-position model. The record is from RNAcentral. Lineage: Eukaryota; Fungi; Basidiomycota; Agaricomycetes; Thelephorales; Thelephoraceae.
AACGGAGAGACUAACAGGAUUCCCCUAGUAACUGCGAGUGAAGCGGGAAGAGCUCAAAUUUAAAAUCUGGCGUGCCUCUGGCCGUCCGAGUUGUAGUCUGGAGAAGCGUUUUCCGUGUUGGACCGUGUAUAAGUCUCUUGGAACAGGGCGUCAUAGAGGGUGAGAAUCCCGUCUUUGACACGGACUACCAAUGCUUUGUGAUGCGCUCUCAAAGAGUCGAGUUGUUUGGGAAUGCAGCUCAAAAUGGGUGGUAAAUUCCAUCUAAAGCUAAAUAUAGGCGAGAGACCGAUAGCGAACAAGUACCGUGAGGGAAAGAUGAAAAGCACUUUGGAAAGAGAGUUAAACAGUACGUGAAAUUGCUGAAAGGGAAACGCUUGAAGUCAGUCGUGUCUGCCAGGACUCAGCCUCGCUUCUGCCUGGUGUACUUUCUGGUCGGAUGGGCCAACAUCAAUUUUGACCGUUGGAAAAAGGCCUUGGGAAUGUGGCACCUUCGGGUGUGUUAUAGCCCUUUGUCGUAUGCAACGGUUGGGAUUGAGGACUGCAGCACGCCUUUAUGGCCGGGGGUUUGCCCACGUACGUGCUUAGGAUGUUGGCAUAAUGGCUUUAAGCGACCCGUCUUGAAACACGGACCAAGGAGUCUAACAUGCCUGCGAGUGUUUGGGUGGAAAACCCAUGCGCGUAAUGAAAGUGACAGCUGAGAUCCUCUCAUCAGGAGCAUCAGCACCUGGACUUGAUCUACGGAGACGGUUCUACGGUAGAGCAUGUGUGUUGGGACCCGAAAGAUGGUGAACUAUGCCUGAAUAGGGUGAAGCCAGAGGAAACUCUGGUGGAGGCUCGUAGCGAUUCUGACGUGCAAAUCGAUCGUCAAAUUUGGGUAUAGGGGCGAAAGACUAAUCGAACCAUCUAGUAGCUGGUUCCUGCGA